UACGGGGGGAGCAAGCGUUGUUCGGAUUUACUGGGCGUAAAGGGCGCGUAGGCGGUCAGCACAAGUCAGUUGUGAAAUCUCCGGGCUUAACUCGGAAAGGUCAACUGAUACUGUGCGACUAGAGUGCAGAAGGGGCAACUGGAAUUCUCGGUGUAGCGGUGAAAUGCGUAGAUAUCGGGAGGAACAUCAGUGGCGAAGGCGGCCUUCUGGUCCAGUACUGACACUCAAGUGCGAAAGCGUGGGGAGCAAACAGGG
Molecule: ribosomal RNA, 255 nt
Filed under: uncultured bacterium
Lineage: Bacteria
Description: partial 16S ribosomal RNA
Rfam family: Bacterial small subunit ribosomal RNA
Source: RNAcentral